Molecule: ribosomal RNA, 972 nt
Filed under: Ecytonucleospora hepatopenaei
Lineage: Eukaryota; Fungi; Microsporidia; Enterocytozoonidae
Description: SSU rRNA
Rfam family: Microsporidia small subunit ribosomal RNA
Source: RNAcentral
GCUCAGUAAUGUUGCGCUGAUUUGCUCUAUGCGGGAAGAAUAACCACGGUAACCUGUGGCUAAGAGUGUAGAAUAAGGUGCAAUCCUAUUAGUUUGUUGGUAGUGUAAAGGACUACCAAGGCAGUGAUGGGUAACGGGAAAUCAGGGUUUGAUUCCGGAGAGGGAGCCUGAGAGAUGGCUCCCACGUCCAAGGAUGGCAGCAGGCGCGAAAAUUGUCCACUCUUUUGAGAGGAGACAGUUAUGAAACGUGAGUAGAAGGGUCGAGUGUAAAAACCUUGACGUGAAGCAAUUGGAGGGCAAGUUUUGGUGCCAGCAGCCGCGGUAAUUCCAACUCCAAGAGUGUCUAUGGUGGAUGCUGCAGUUAAAGGGUCCGUAGUCGUAGAUGCAAUUAAAAGGUGGUGUUAAAAGCCAUUGAGUUUGUUGAGAGUAGCGGAACGGAUAGGGAGCAUGGUAUAGGUGGGCAAAGAAUGAAAUCUCAAGACCCCACCUGGACCAACGGAGGCGAAAGCGAUGCUCUUAGACGUAUCUGGGGAUCAAGGACGAAGGCUAGAGUAUCGAAAGUGAUUAGACACCGCUGUAGUUCUAGCAGUAAACUAUGCCGACAAUGCUGGGUGUUGCGAGAGCGAUGCUUGGUGUGGGAGAAAUCUUAGUUUUCGGGCUCUGGGGAUAGUACGCUCGCAAGGGUGAAACUUAAAGCGAAAUUGACGGAAGGACACUACCAGGAGUGGAUUGUGCUGCUUAAUUUAACUCAACGCGGGAAAACUUACCAGGGUCAAGUCUAUCGUAGAUUGGAGACAUGAGGUAGACAAGAGUGGUGCAUGGCCGUUGGAAAUUGAUGGGGCGACUUUUAGCUUAAGUGCUGGAACCAGUGAGAUCUUCUAGACAGGUGUUAUUUAGGCACAGGAGGGAGAAGGCAAUAACAGGUCCGUGAUGCCCUUAGAUAUCCUGGGCAGCAAGCGCAAUACAAUAUCU